This 68-nucleotide transfer RNA is filed under the name Silvatares holzenthali. RNAcentral describes it as "tRNA-Trp". Lineage: Eukaryota; Metazoa; Arthropoda; Insecta; Trichoptera; Pisuliidae. The record is from RNAcentral.
AAAACUUUAAGUUAAAUUAAACUAAUAAUCUUCAAAAUUAUAAAUAAAAUUUUAUUUUUUAAGUUUUA